Molecule: ribosomal RNA, 1432 nt
Filed under: uncultured organism
Description: 16S ribosomal RNA
Rfam family: Bacterial small subunit ribosomal RNA
Source: RNAcentral
UUAACACAUGCAAGUCGAGGGGCAGCAUGGUUUUAGCUUGCUAAGGCCGAUGGCGACCGGCGCACGGGUGAGUAACACGUAUCCAACCUGCCGUCUACUCUUGGACAGCCUUCUGAAAGGGAGAUUAAUACAAGAUGGCAUCAUGAGUCCACAUGUUCACAUGAUUAAAGGUAUUCCGGUAGACGAUGGGGAUGCGUUCCAUUAGAUAGUAGGCGGGGUAACGGCCCACCUAGUCUUCGAUGGAUAGGGGUUCUGAGAGGAAGGUCCCCCACAUUGGAACUGAGACACGGUCCAAACUCCUACGGGAGGCAGCAGUGAGGAAUAUUGGUCAAUGGGCGAGAGCCUGAACCAGCCAAGUAGCGUGAAGGAUGACUGCCCUAUGGGUUGUAAACUUCUUUUAUAAAGGAAUAAAGUCGGGUAUGCAUACCCGUUUGCAUGUACUUUAUGAAUAAGGAUCGGCUAACUCCGUGCCAGCAGCCGCGGUAAUACGGAGGAUCCGAGCGUUAUCCGGAUUUAUUGGGUUUAAAGGGAGCGUAGAUGGAUGUUUAAGUCAGUUGUGAAAGUUUGCGGCUCAACCGUAAAAUUGCAGUUGAUACUGGAUAUCUUGAGUGCAGUUGAGGCAGGCGGAAUUCGUGGUGUAGCGGUGAAAUGCUUAGAUAUCACGAAGAACUCCGAUUGCGAAGGCAGCCUGCUAAGCUGCAACUGACAUUGAGGCUCGAAAGUGUGGGUAUCAAACAGGAUUAGAUACCCUGGUAGUCCACACGGUAAACGAUGAAUACUCGCUGUUUGCGAUAUACAGCAAGCGGCCAAGCGAAAGCGUUAAGUAUUCCACCUGGGGAGUACGCCGGCAACGGUGAAACUCAAAGGAAUUGACGGGGGCCCGCACAAGCGGAGGAACAUGUGGUUUAAUUCGAUGAUACGCGAGGAACCUUACCCGGGCUUAAAUUGCAGAUGAAUUACGGUGAAAGCCGUAAGCCGCAAGGCAUCUGUGAAGGUGCUGCAUGGUUGUCGUCAGCUCGUGCCGUGAGGUGUCGGCUUAAGUGCCAUAACGAGCGCAACCCUUGUUGUCAGUUACUAACAGGUUCUGCUGAGGACUCUGACAAGACUGCCAUCGUAAGAUGUGAGGAAGGUGGGGAUGACGUCAAAUCAGCACGGCCCUUACGUCCGGGGCUACACACGUGUUACAAUGGGGGGUACAGAGGGCCGCUACCACGCGAGUGGAUGCCAAUCCCAAAAACCUCUCUCAGUUCGGACUGGAGUCUGCAACCCGACUCCACGAAGCUGGAUUCGCUAGUAAUCGCGCAUCAGCCACGGCGCGGUGAAUACGUUCCCGGGCCUUGUACACACCGCCCGUCAAGCCAUGGGAGCCGGGGGUACCUGAAGUGCGUAACCGCGAGGAGCGCCCUAGGGUAAAACUGGUGACUGGGGCUAA